RNAcentral lists this small RNA (1486 nucleotides) under uncultured Rhodoplanes sp. RNAcentral describes it as "bacterial SSU rRNA". The stretch from base 1 to 467 matches the Rfam family "Bacterial small subunit ribosomal RNA", at positions 1064 to 1533 of the family's 1533-position model. The record is from RNAcentral. Lineage: Bacteria; Pseudomonadati; Pseudomonadota; Alphaproteobacteria; Hyphomicrobiales; Nitrobacteraceae.
GUCGUGAGAUGUUGGGUUAAGUCCCGCAACGAGCGCAACCCUCGCCCUUAGUUGCCAUCAUUUAGUUGGGCACUCUAGGGGGACUGCCGGUGAUAAGCCGGAGGAAGGUGGGGAUGACGUCAAGUCCUCAUGGCCCUUACGGGCUGGGCUACACACGUGCUACAAUGGCGGUGACAGUGGGACGCAAUGGAGUAAUCCUGCGCAAAUCUCAAAAAGCCGUCUCAGUUCGGAUUGUGCUCUGCAACUCGAGCACAUGAAGUUGGAAUCGCUAGUAAUCGCAGAUCAGCACGCUGCGGUGAAUACGUUCCCGGGCCUUGUACACACCGCCCGUCACACCAUGGGAGUUGGCUUUACCUGAAGACGGUGCGCUAACCGCAAGGAGGCAGCCGGCCACGGUAGGGUCAGCGACUGGGGUGAAGUCGUAACAAGGUAGCCGUAGGGGAACCUGCGGCUGGAUCACCUCCUUUCUAAGGACGAUCCUUCAGGGGCGCCUCAAGCGUCUCUAUCGGAUCUCUUGGAAACAUCAGGGGCUCAAAGUCAAAUGAGCCCCAUAGGCGGGACACCGCCGUCUUCAUUUCUUUUUCUUCCGCGGACGAGCCCAAUUGGGGAUCGCAAGUCGUUGUGCCAGUGAUUCGGUGCAUCGGCGGGCGAUCGCUGAACUUCCUGGCCCGGGCUUGUAGCUCAGUUGGUUAGAGCGCGCGCUUGAUAAGCGUGAGGUCGGAAGUUCAAGUCUUCCCAGGCCCACCAUUUCCAGGCGUCGGUAAUCAGAAGUCAGCAGUCAGAUGGGACUCAUUUCUGAUGGCUGAUUUCUGCUUGCUGAUCCUGGAGGGCCAUAGCUCAGUGGGAGAGCGCUGCUUUGCAAGCAGGAGGUCGUCGGUUCGAUCCCGUCUGGCUCCACCAGUCGAGAUCGCGCGCGAUCAUUUCUGAUAGCGAAUCGAAGCUCGUCGUUGAGCUCUUCGAAUCAGCGCUCGCGAGAUCAACGCUCGUCCGUCGAACACAAUUUUCGCGUCUGUGCGAGAGCCGUAGGGCUACGUGCGGCCGCGCGAUAAGUGACUGAUAUCUGACAUCGUGAAGAGGUAGGAUCGCUCCGAGAGUCGAUCGUGACGCAAGUCGCGAUCGAUGCGCAAUCUCCGAGCAUUGCAACGCGACCCGUCGUCGUGCCGAAAGGCAUGUGCGAGGCCGUCGUGGACCAAUGUUUAUGUCGGCUGCUUGACCGCACGCCGUCGGAACGAUCCGAAGACAAGCUGGUCUUUCUAAUCAAUGACCAACCGAUCGAGCUGUUCCUAACGAACAGGUGUUUCCAAAGAACACUUGUUCUCAAAGAACGAUCGAGCGGUCCGCUGCCGAGCGGAUGGGCAUUGAUGAUGAGAGCGAUCAAGUGCCUUAAGGGCGUUCGGUGGAUGCCUUGGCGCUGAGAGGCUAUGAAGGACGUGCUACGCUGCGAAAAGCCGUGGGGAGCUGCGAAGAAGCUUUGAUCCGCGGAUGU